CACUUAAGUUACAAAGGAUUUCCUGAAAGCUUUUUCAAAUUUAUCUUCUAUUGAUCCCAUGAUCCAGAAGUUUUCAAAAUAUGGUGCAGUUGAAAUACUAGCAAUGAGGGUCUGCAUAAAGCAUUGGAAAAUUCCAGAGCAAGAUGAAUUCUGAACAGAAAGUACUUAACUUGAGAUGUCCAUACAUUCAUUCACUCAUUCAUUUAUUCAAAAGUAUUAUUUACUGUAUUCCAGACUCUUUAAUAGGUACUGGAUAAGUCUUUGCCGUACCAUUACUCAGGUUAAGUAAAUCAAGUAUUACCAAUAACUAUCCUCAGGAAAGUGGUUAGAAGUGGACUCCGUGCGAGCACUGGAUACAAAUACUCCUUAAAGGCGUCACCUUGCCAUUGGGCAUGAUUGCUGUGGUCUAGUGCAUGAUCAAUAGUCUUGAGGAAUGCAUGGUGGCACCGACAUGGCCGUUGUAAAGUGGUUUACUGACAAGUAUCCUAGAAAACACCUUUGCUGAUUACUGGUGACCUACAGUUCCUAUACAUACACACAGUUCAGAAAGCAUCUUGAGACAAUUUUCUCUGGGUAUUCUGAAAUGAUAGAAUUCUUAGGCUUUACGCUCAUGAAAAUAACAAAUAUAAUACACCUUGCUAUCAUAAUUCCUGGGCUUCCUGCUGAAGGAUUUUGAGUGGCAGAGUCGUUCAGACUGGCUGUUCUGCUUAUGGAAACUUCAUUUGGUGAACGUGAAUCUUUACAUAGAGUGCGAGUGUGACACACCCACCCCAACCCGACAAGAGGUUAAUAGAUCUGAAAUCAACUGCAAAUAUGCUGGAGUGUUCUUUUCCUCUUUCUAACGUUUACUAAAAAUAUGUUAUAUGCCAGGAAUAUGUUGGGUGCUUUUUGCAUGGAAUAUAUGAUAACUCCAAGAGAAAUUAUCUCCUUUUUAAACAUGAGAAAAUUGAGAUCAGAGAGUUUAAGCAAUACAUUCAACUUCACCACCUCAAACCCAAGUCUUGUAUCUCCAGGGGUCCCACUCUUCCCACCCUUCCAGGAGCUGUCUGGUAGAGUGUGGUGCAGACAGCACUGAUGUCUCUCCCUUAGUGUUUGCGGCAGUGGUGUAGCUCCACUUUCACACAGUAAAAUUGUUUCACUCAACAGGGCUUCACUGUGAGCUCCAUGUAAAGGUGAUCUAGAAACCUCAUCUAAGGCUGUCUCCAAGUUUCCAGAUUGUGGAAGGUACUUGGCAGCAACUUUGCACAUCCCUGAGCAACCACUGCCAUCCUGCUUCUGAUGCUUCACUGGGGAUUGCUCUUAGGCCUGGUCGCUGUGUUCCCACACAUGUGCUGUCUUGCACGGGGACAAGACGGUUUGCUCAUCGCAUAUUCAACAUAACCACACAAGCCAAGCAACACACACCAUGAAGUCUGGGACUCUUACCUGUCUUCUCAGCAAUGAGCACGUGGACCUUUUGAUCAGCCUCUACGUUGGGAAGGGGAUGGUGAGGGGCACAGAAUAAGAAAUCCGAAGAAGCGUGCAGGCUUUGAGACUAUACGGGCUGCCACAGACCCGUGUCCCGCCCAUGCUGCUUUCGCUCGGUGCCGAGGUCUCACACAGACAGGGGGACAAAGCUGUGUCAGUGGCAUCGCUGCACAGCUCGCAGGAGAAACUGCGGUGCAGCUCAGCAGAGGCGGCGUGGUGAAGACAGCUGGGUCCCCUCCCUGCCUCUGGGACAGACUGUCGGACGCCCCCAAGAUCCUGUUCACAGGGUCUCAUAGGUG
Long non-coding RNA from Equus asinus (donkey), 1766 nucleotides. The record is from Ensembl. NCBI's taxonomy places the organism in Eukaryota, Metazoa, Chordata, Mammalia, Perissodactyla, Equidae.